Molecule: transfer RNA, 87 nt
Filed under: Candidatus Gottesmanbacteria bacterium
Lineage: Bacteria; Candidatus Gottesmaniibacteriota
Description: tRNA-Leu
Rfam family: tRNA
About the family: Transfer RNA (tRNA) molecules are approximately 80 nucleotides in length.
Source: RNAcentral
GCCGAGGUGGUGGAAUCGGUAGACACGCAGCCUUGAGGAGGCUGUACCCUUAAAUAAGGUGUGCAGGUUCAAAUCCUGUCCUCGGCA